RNAcentral lists this ribosomal RNA (381 nucleotides) under Triticum aestivum (bread wheat). RNAcentral's name for it is "partial small subunit ribosomal RNA". The record is from RNAcentral. Lineage: Eukaryota; Viridiplantae; Streptophyta; Magnoliopsida; Poales; Poaceae.
AUGGCCGUCCACGGCCAGGGGCUUGCUCGUCGCCUUGUCCGCGGUAACUGGACGCACGCCCUCUCCAUGGCAACCGCAGCCAGAGCUUCGCUAGUCGCCAUGACCAACCUGCAAUCAGCCGCGGGGGCGACGAGUUUGUGCUGGAGCCGGGGAUUGCUGGAACCAGUUGGUGGACGUGCUGCAAGGUUGACAGCUCACAGGAGGAAGCUGCAUCCAGCGGCGAGGAGGGUUGCAUCCAAUGUCGUUCAAACGCCGGGAGUUGCAACCAUGUACGCCGGAGCUACAACCGGUGACCGGGGGUGUUGCAAGAGGGAGUGGCCGUUUUUGCUGAUGCGUCUUUUUUUGGUGAACCAAAUUUUUGUUUUUUGCUGGAACCGAUGA